Molecule: ribosomal RNA, 486 nt
Filed under: uncultured bacterium
Lineage: Bacteria
Description: bacterial SSU rRNA
Rfam family: Bacterial small subunit ribosomal RNA
Source: RNAcentral
GAUGAACGCUAGCGGGAGGCUUAACACAUGCAAGUCGAGGGGCAGCAUAGGGUAGCAAUACUCUGAUGGCGACCGGCAAACGGUGAGUAACGCGUAUGCAACCUACCCUGUACAGGGGGAUAACCCGGAGAAAUUCGGACUAAUAUCCCGUAAUAAUAUCCGGAGGCAUCUUUGGAUAUUUAAAGUUCCGACGGUACGGGAUGGGCAUGCGUAACAUUAGCUGGUUGGUAAGGUAACGGCUUACCAAGGCUAUGAUGUUUAGGGGUCCUGAGAGGGUGGUCCCCCACACUGGUACUGAGACACGGACCAGACUCCUACGGGAGGCAGCAGUGAGGAAUAUUGGUCAAUGGGCGCAAGCCUGAACCAGCCAUCCCGCGUGCAGGAAGACGGCCCUAUGGGUUGUAAACUGCUUUUCCAGGGAGAGAAACUUACGCACGUGUUGCGUGACUGACGGUACCCUGGGAAUAAGCAUCGGCUAACUCCGUG